This 83-nucleotide transfer RNA is filed under the name Canis lupus familiaris (dog). It matches the Rfam family "tRNA". From Rfam's summary of the family: Transfer RNA (tRNA) molecules are approximately 80 nucleotides in length. Their secondary structure includes four short double-helical elements and three loops (D, anti-codon, and T loops). Lineage: Eukaryota; Metazoa; Chordata; Mammalia; Carnivora; Canidae. The record is from Rfam by way of RNAcentral. RNAcentral also lists the same sequence under 2 other names.
GCCUGGGUGGCUCAGCGGUUGAGCGUCUGCCUUUGGCUCAGGUCGUGAUCCUGGGGUCUUGGGAUCGAGUCCCAUAUCGGGCA